Molecule: ribosomal RNA, 395 nt
Filed under: uncultured bacterium
Lineage: Bacteria
Description: bacterial SSU rRNA
Rfam family: Bacterial small subunit ribosomal RNA
Source: RNAcentral
GACGAACGCUGGCGGCGUGCUUAACACAUGCAAGUCGAGCGGUAAGGCCCUUUCGGGGGUACACGAGCGGCGAACGGGUGAGUAACACGUGGGUGACCUGCCCUCAGCUCUGGGAUAAGCCCGGGAAACUGGGUCUAAUACUGGAUAUGACUCCAUGACGCAUGUUGUGGGGUGGAAAGCCUUGUGCGGCUGGGGGAUGGGCCCGCGGCCUAUCAGCUUGUUGGUGGGGGAUGGCCUACCAAGGCGACGACGGGUAGCCGGCCUGAGAGGGCGACGGCCACACUGGGACUGAGACACGGCCCAGACUCCUACGGGAGGCAGCAGUGGGGAAUCUUGCGCAAUGGGCGAAAGCCUGACGCAGCGACGCCGCGUGAGGGAUGACGGCCUGGUGUAAC